RNAcentral lists this long non-coding RNA (1203 nucleotides) under Oncorhynchus mykiss (rainbow trout). Its description in RNAcentral is "lncRNA (ENSOMYG00000066168.1)". Lineage: Eukaryota; Metazoa; Chordata; Actinopteri; Salmoniformes; Salmonidae. The record is from RNAcentral.
AUGCUGACUGGCUGCUCCAUGAUGACUGGCAGCUCUGGCUGCUCCAUGCUGACUGGCUGCUCCAUGCUGACUGGCAGCUCUGGCAGCUCCAUGCUGACUGGCAGCUCCAUGCUGACUGGCAGCUCCAUGCUGACUGGCAGCUCCAUGCUGACUGGCAGCUCCAUGCUGACUGGCAGCUCUGGCUGCUCCAUGCUGACUGGCAGCUCCAUGCUGACUGGCAGCUCUGGCUGCUCCAUGCUGACUGGCUGCUCCAUGCUGAUUGGCUGCUCCAUGCUGACUGGCGGCCCUGGCUGCUCCAUGCUGACUGGCGGCCCUGGCUGCUCCAUGCUGACUGGCGGCCCUGGCUGCUCCAUGCUGACUGGCGGCCCUGGCUGCUCCAUGCUGACUGGCAGCUCUGGCGGCUCCUUGCUGACUGGCAGCUCUGGCGGCUCCUUGCAGACUGGCAGCUCUGGCGGCUCCUUGCAGACUGGCAGCUCUGGCGGCUCCUUGCAGACUGGCAGCUCUGGCGGCUCCUUGCAGACUGGCAGCUCUGGCGGCUCCUUGCAGACUGGCAGCUUUGGCGGCAUCCUGCAGACAGGCAGCUCUGGCGGCUCCUUGCAGACUGGCAGCUCCUUGCAGACUGGCAGCUCUAUGCAGACUGGCAGCUCCUUGCAGACUGGCAGCUCCUUGCAGACUGGCAGCUCUAUGCUAACUGGCAGCUCUAUGCUAACUGGCAGCUCUAUGCUAACUGGCAGCUCUAUGCUAACUGGCAGCUCCUUGCAAACUGGCAGCUCUAUGCUAACUGGCAGCUCCUUGCAAACUGGCAGCUCCUUGCAAACUGGCAGCUCCUUGCAAACUGGCAGCUCCUUGCAAACUGGCAGCUCCUUGCAAACUGGCAGCUCCUUGCAAACUGGCAGUUCUGAACAGGCGGGAGACUCCGGCAGCACUGUAGAGAAGGAAGGCUCUAACAGCGCUAAACAGGCGGGAGACUCCGACAGCGCUGGAGAGGAGGAGGGCUCCGACAGCGCUGGACAGGCGAGGCGCACUGUAGGCCUGAUGCGUGGUGCUGGCACUGGUGGUACUGGGCCGAGGACACGCACAGGAAGCCUGGUGCGGGGAGCUGCUACCGGAGGGCUGGGGUGUGGAGGUGGUACUGGAAAAACCGGACCGUGCAGGCGCACUGGAGCUCUUGAGCACCGAGCCUGCCCAACCUUACCUGGUUGA